AUUGAACGCUGGCGGCAGGCCUAACACAUGCGAGUCGAGCGGAUGAAGGGAGCUUGCUCCUGGAUUCAGCGGCGGACGGGUGAGUAAUGCCUAGGAAUCUGCCUGGUAGUGGGGGAUAACGUCCGGAAACGGGCGCUAAUACCGCAUACGUCCUGAGGGAGAAAGUGGGGGAUCUUCGGACCUCACGCUAUCAGAUGAGCCUAGGUCGGAUUAGCUAGUUGGUGGGGUAAAGGCCUACCAAGGCGACGAUCCGUAACUGGUCUGAGAGGAUGAUCAGUCACACUGGAACUGAGACACGGUCCAGACUCCUACGGGAGGCAGCAGUGGGGAAUAUUGGACAAUGGGCGAAAGCCUGAUCCAGCCAUGCCGCGUGUGUGAAGAAGGUCUUCGGAUUGUAAAGCACUUUAAGUUGGGAGGAAGGGCAGUAAGUUAAUACCUUGCUGUUUUGACGUUACCGACAGAAUAAGCACCGGCUAACUUCGUG
Molecule: ribosomal RNA, 484 nt
Filed under: uncultured bacterium
Lineage: Bacteria
Description: partial 16S ribosomal RNA
Rfam family: Bacterial small subunit ribosomal RNA
Source: RNAcentral